GCGAGAAGGGGUUAUGGAAUAGGCACGGAAUUGGGUGGGAGUUCCAAGGACUUGAACGGGUCAGGGCUUUGAGUUAUAGAGAUAAAGAAGAGGCGAACGUUGAAGGUGAAGAAGCUGCAGAAACGGUGCUUGCAGAGUGCGGAACAAUGGCGGCCAUUCACAUGGCUUCAUCCAUGGCGCCAACCAUCAAAUUACUGAGUUCUGGUUGUAGCAACACUUUCAGAUGAGGGAGAAACCCUGAGAAAUUAAGUCUGCAGCCAAGACUUUAUUCGCGGCUUCGGUCGGAUGAAAACCGUCCCAGAAAACAUAGCCAGUGGCGUUUGAACAUGUUCCAAUUGAUCCAUUGUUGCAGAGGAGGGAGGUCUCUACUGUACCUGUUCCACAGCAAGCCCUUCUUGCCUCAAAAAACCCUGUGACAUUCAAAGUUCCAACUGGAAAGGCUUUGACACCAUAUUCAAGAGAGGUUGAUAAAUAUCAAAGACAACAAGCUUGAGACCAGAGAAUCUGUUCUGCAAACUCUGAGAUGUGCUU
Molecule: long non-coding RNA, 531 nt
Organism: Cucurbita pepo subsp. pepo (vegetable marrow)
Lineage: Eukaryota; Viridiplantae; Streptophyta; Magnoliopsida; Cucurbitales; Cucurbitaceae
Source: RefSeq, a predicted model, not a curated record